GUCCAGAGCUGUCCUGAUGUUUCAGUGAGAUGAUGGGCACAGAGGUGUCCUGAAGACUGUGAAGAGCUGCCCAGGGACCAGCUUACCUCUGAGAGGGCAACAGGAGGAGUGAUUCUUCUGUGCCCCAUGAAAGGCAGGGGCCUGUCUCCAGAAUGUCCCCUUGACUCACCAUAAAGGAGGGAAAGAUCCAUUUACAACACUUCUCAAGCACCUCUUAGGCAAGGCGCUGAGUUGGAGGCAUUCACACGGAUACCCUCAUGGACCCCAGGCAGCCGCUCUGUGACGUCAUGGUGAUCACUCACAUUUCACAGUAAAGAUGGUGGAUCAGAGGGGUAAGUGGUCAGCCAAGGUCACACAGCUGGGGCUCUAGCCACAUGGGGAGGAGGUGCCUGGAGAAGGGGUGUUCCCUUUCCUGGGGUGUGAAAUGGUCUAGCCCAUGAGUCACCACUAAGGGAGAGCUUCUCAACUGGCUGAAUGGACGUGGCCAAGGGAGAGUCCUGGCUGGCUGUGAGGAGUGUCAGCAGGAAGAAGCAGAUGUCAGAAAUACAGGAAAGCACAGGAAGAGAUUGGAAAGACCCCAGCAUCUCCCUCCAGGCGAGCCUCUGUGCAUGUUUGGGUGUCCAUCCAUCCAUCCUUUUCUACCCCAAAUUGUACCCUGAAUCAAUCUUUCCGAGCUUGCUUAAUAAUAUCAUUCGUUCACGGAGAACCUGCUUUCCCAAGUUUGUGAACAGUGGUGUGCUUACCAUACAGCCAGUGCUAUGCCAGGCUCUAGAAGUUCCACGGACAUCACGAGGAGAGGCGACUCUUCCCUUGAGAGGUCCCCAGCCUCGGGGGUGUGGAGACAGAUGUGCUUCAACAGUCACAGGACCAGAUGGAAGACUGUGCCUGGGACACGUCAUGGGAAGAACCGGUGCAUGGUGCUGAGUGCUCUGGCCUGGUCUGCAGGGUCCGGGGUGCUGCCCUGGGGAGGGUCCUCAGUGAUGGUCUGAAGUAUGACCGUGACUGACAGGAGGGGUGAGGAUGCCGCCUGGCAGAGGCCCUGGUCCCGGGGCAGCAGGACGCAUCUCUGGGCGGCCAGCAUGGCUCAGUGGGGGCUGCGGAGGAAUCUGUGGAGACUGGCUGUGGCUACAGGCCUGGAGAGUGUGGGCAGCCUACGAAGCACACGGGAGCCCUGGCCGGGAUUUGAGCCGGGGGCGGGGGUGGGGGUGGGUCACGAUCUGAUGGACUCCUGGCUGUCCUGUAAGAAGUGCUGGAGAGGCCAGGGGGAUGAGGCCUAGGGGGACGAGAUGAGACUGCAGCAGCCAGCAGAGAGAACUGACCGUUUCGGGUGAUGUCCUAGUGGUGGUGUCCCCUGUAGGACCUCAUGCCAGCCAGACCCGAUCAGAAAGUCCUCCCCAAGCUCCUCUCUGCCCCCGGGCCAUUGCAUGUGCUGGCCUCUGGCCCCGGUUCCUGCACACACUGCUGCCUGCCCUUGGUCACAGCUCAAGCGCUUGACUUCCCCUCGCAAGCCAGCCUCCUGCUCUCCUGACCUCGGC
RNAcentral lists this long non-coding RNA (1535 nucleotides) under Capra hircus (goat). Its description in RNAcentral is "lncRNA (ENSCHIG00000001597.1)". The record is from RNAcentral. Lineage: Eukaryota; Metazoa; Chordata; Mammalia; Artiodactyla; Bovidae.